This 636-nucleotide ribosomal RNA is filed under the name uncultured archaeon. Its description in RNAcentral is "bacterial SSU rRNA". It matches the Rfam family "Archaeal small subunit ribosomal RNA", at positions 235 to 871 of the family's 1478-position model. The record is from RNAcentral.
GGUGGGGUAACGGCCCACCAAGCCUAAGAUCCGUACGGGCCGUGGGAGCAGGAGCCCGGAGAUGGACCCUGAGACAAGGGUCCAGGCCCUACGGGGCGCAGCAGGCGCGAAACCUCCGCAAUGCGGGAAACCGCGACGGGGUUAGCCGGAGUGCCCGUGCAUUGCACGGGCUGUCGGGGUGCCUAAACAGCACCCCAUAGCAAGGGCCGGGCAAGGCCGGUGGCAGCCGCCGCGGUAAGACCGGCGGCCCGAGUGGCGGCCACUCUUAUUGGGCCUAAAGCGUCCGUAGCCGGCCCAGUAAGUCCCCCGGGAAAUCUGGUCGCUUAACGAUCAGACUUCCGGGGGAUACUGCUGGGCUAGGGACCGGGAGAGGCCGAGGGUAUUCCCGGGGUAGGGGUGAAAUCCUGUAAUCCCGGGAGGACCACCUGUGGCGAAGGCGCUCGGCUGGAACGGGUCCGACGGUGAGGGACGAAGGCCUGGGGAGCGAACCGGAUUAGAUACCCGGGUAGUCCAGGCUGUAAACGAUGCGGGCUAGGUGUCACCGGAGCUACGAGCUCCGGUGGUGCCGGAGGGAAGCCGUUAAGCCCGCCGCCUGGGAAGUACGGCCGCAAGGCUGAAACUUAAAGGAAUUGACGG